This is a long non-coding RNA of Phyllopteryx taeniolatus (common seadragon), 874 nucleotides long. RefSeq lists it as uncharacterized. The record is from RefSeq and is a predicted model, not a curated record. The transcript is spliced from 3 exons. NCBI's taxonomy places the organism in Eukaryota, Metazoa, Chordata, Actinopteri, Syngnathiformes, Syngnathidae.
UCUCCUCCAUGCGGGCACUCAGAAACGGUACAGGUUUCCUCCAUAGAACCCGCUCCGCUAUAAAGAAAGUUCAUGUUGACAGCUCAUUAAAAGGCCCGAGGAUGAAGUGAUAAAUCAGCAUUUAUUGCGCGGAUCUAACGUUGCCAACAUGUGAAGCAUUCGCGGGGACUGCUUCAUGCAACGCACAAUCACGGGCACGCUUGUGUUCAUGAAAAAAGACGGGGCGGGCCCUGCAGGACAUUUGGUGAAACGGAGGUCUACUUCCAGCUUACCUGGGACCUGGAGCUGAACACGCUAAAGACUGUAGAGAUGAUUGUGGACUUCAGGAGGCCUCCUUUGCCACAGCUGCCCCUCACGCUGUCCAACUGCCUUGUGUCAACCGUCAAGACCUUCAAGUUCCUGGGAAUUACAGUCUCUCAGGACCUGAAGUUGGGCGAUCAACAUCAACUCCGUCCUCAAAAAGGCCAAGCAGAGGAUGUACUUCCUGCGGCUUCUGAGGAAGCACGGCCUGCCACGGGAGCUGUUCUACACAUAGAAUCAGUCCUGUGUUCUUCCAUCACAGUUGGGUUUGGUGCUGCUCCAAAAAAGGACAAACUCUGACUGCAACGGACAAUCAAAACCGCUGAAAAGCUUGUCGGUACCCCCCUACCAACCCUUGAGGACUUGCACGCUGCCAGAACUAAGACAAGAGCAUACAAAAUCCUCUUGUACCCUCCACAUCCCGGUCACCGGCUCUUCCAGCUCCUUCCAUCAGGUGAUCGACUGGCAGGCGGGAGCUGCUAUAGGCACCAAGUCAGAGGACGCCAGUCAGAAGGCAGAGGGGAAUUCUUCAUCAAUCAAGUUUAUCCCGUUUGGUCCACAGAAAUACUGCCUU